This is a non-coding RNA of Cyanistes caeruleus (blue tit), 1367 nucleotides long. NCBI's taxonomy places the organism in Eukaryota, Metazoa, Chordata, Aves, Passeriformes, Paridae. The record is from RefSeq and is a predicted model, not a curated record.
AAGCACAGACAUACUAACGGUUGUAUCUUAGGUCCGUGGAAAGGAAGCAAUUGUUUUGUAAAAUGGAUCAGGUCAGGUCUUGGAACCUGGCCAAAAAGCCAAGAGCCUUCACCUGUUUUAUCUGGUGUUAUAAACAUAGUCCAGCUGCAAGAAUCUGGUCUUACCUUCACAGGGGUGGCAGAAGGCACCUGUCACACUAAGGUCACCGUCAUUUGGACAAUACUGUCAGGCACAAACCUCUCUGUUUGAAACAGACACCCAAGAACAUCAGGAGGAAUGUCCUUCAUAGGUAUAACUGAAGUCUCACCGGGAUUUACAAGAAGCACUGACCGCGUGGGUGCUGGAGCUCAUGGAAACACCCCUUGUUUCUACUGCCCUCGGCUGAUGUGUUUUCCUUUCAGCACCAAUGCGGCCGAGCCAGGUAAAUACACACCUGCCACCCGAACAUCUAUCCCACGAGAAAUAAUGAAAAGGAGGGUAGAUUCAAACAACAGCAACGAACAGUAUGCAUAUUGCAUCCUGUCAGACUAACUGGGUGUGUCUUUAGGGUGCUGUCACCUUUGUGUUUGCCUGCAGACGUACAGCGAGAAGCCCGGCACCAGCAGACAUGGGGGUAAAUUUGAGGUUACCCACAGCGGGGCAGUGCAAGCUCCGCACAGAGCAGAUCGUGGGCAGGCCGCGGGCAUCCCUUUUCCCCGGACAGCCCAAGCCUCGGUGUUCCCAGCGCGCUGCACAGGAAGGAUGGAGGCAGGGAAUUCUCCUCUUUGGGGGACCCCGACACCUCUUCCCCGCGGGGCCAGGCCGCUGCCCGCCCCCGCCGCAGGACUACAGCUCCCAGCGAGCCUUGCGCCGCCUCCAUCUUCCCCCUCACAAACACCGCGCGUAGCGUUCUCGAAACAACGCCUUGUUCAAAUAAAACCUGUCGUUCAAUAAAACUUUCUCAGAGUGUGCUUUGAGCCUGCACUGAGGCGCGCAGCUGAAAUAGAUCCUCGAAUUAGCCGAAUAGCCCUCAUGAUCUCGUUGGGUUCACUUCGGCAGGAGGCCAGAGUCUGCACUCCCGGGCUGCUGUCUCCCAGAGGAGCUGUAAAUCUGCUUUUCUUUCCUGGAGGGGAUGUGGUGUCCUGGGAAUGUCCUCGACAUCCAUGCUGGGUCAGCUCAUCCCCGCCUUCAGCAAUACUCAACAAACCCGGCCGCUGGCCUCUCUCAUCACUCAUGCCCCUUCACUGUUCCUCAGAAUCUGGGACGAUGAUCCUGAAGAUGCUGCCUGACAUCGCUGUGCUGCCUGCGAUUUCUCCUUGCUCAGACUUGCUGCCUACGAGUGAAAAGCUGUAGUUCAAGCUUUGCUAAAUCUCGUAUGUCUGUACUGG